Long non-coding RNA from Chinchilla lanigera (long-tailed chinchilla), 375 nucleotides. RefSeq lists it as uncharacterized. The record is from RefSeq and is a predicted model, not a curated record. Lineage: Eukaryota; Metazoa; Chordata; Mammalia; Rodentia; Chinchillidae. The transcript is spliced from 3 exons.
CUGGCCUGGAAGGGUGGGAUUUCCUCCCUGCUUCCUCCCUUCAGUCUCAGGGCGCGGCCACCACGCUGCCCACCGUGCAGGACCGAAACUUCUCAAUGUGAGCCAAAGUACACGUCUGUCCCUUCAAGAACCGGGUGUUUGGUGCCGUGUCCGAGCAACAAAGACGAUUCAUAAUGCCAAGAAGGAAUUUCCUAAGGAAAACAUUCAAGAAGAAUCUGGACACUAAUAUUUCCCAAGAUAUGAGACAAGCCCUUUAAGCUGAAGUUUAUAAAACAUGCAUCUAUAUUCAAUAUGGAAUCCUCAAAAUCAAGCUUAAUCCCUUUAAAGAAAUAUGAUGACACCAUCAAAGACAAAUUAUUGCCCAUUUUUGGAGGA